GACGAACGCUGGCGGCGUGCUUAACACAUGCAAGUCGAACGGAAAGGCCCUGCUUUUGUGGGGUGCUCGAGUGGCGAACGGGUGAGUAACACGUGAGUAACCUGCCCUUGACUUUGGGAUAACUUCAGGAAACUGGGGCUAAUACCGGAUAGGAGCUCCUGCUGCAUGGUGGGGGUUGGAAAGUUUCGGCGGUUGGGGAUGGACUCGCGGCUUAUCCGCUUGUUGGGGAGGUAGUGGCUUACCAAGGCUUUGACGGGUAGCCGGCCUGAGAGGGUGACCGGCCACAAGGGGACUGAGAUACGGACCAGACUGCAACGUGAGGCAGCAGGGGGGAAUAUUGCACAAUGGGCCGAAGCCUGAGGUAGCGACGCCGCGUGCGGGAUGACGGGCUUCGGGUUGUAAACAGCUUUCGCCUGUGACGAAGCGUGAGUGACGGUAAUGGGUAAAGAAGCACCGGCUAACUACGUG
RNAcentral lists this ribosomal RNA (468 nucleotides) under uncultured bacterium. Its description in RNAcentral is "partial 16S ribosomal RNA". It matches the Rfam family "Bacterial small subunit ribosomal RNA", at positions 28 to 507 of the family's 1533-position model. The record is from RNAcentral.